Molecule: long non-coding RNA, 1389 nt
Organism: Rosa chinensis
Lineage: Eukaryota; Viridiplantae; Streptophyta; Magnoliopsida; Rosales; Rosaceae
Exons: 6
Source: RefSeq, a predicted model, not a curated record
CCCCGAUUCUAUCCACUUUACCUUCGAGACACUCUCCGAGACACGUUUGUUCAACUUCGAAACCCUGAAACGUUUCGCUUGUAUUCGCUUCCAAACACCACCGAUCACCUCUUCUUCUUCGACCCAAACAUUCGCCAAGGCUCCCAGGCCAUGCUUGAUCAUCUCAGAAGCACGAGGUUUCGAUGCCGCACAGCUUGGAUUGCUUUAAUUUGGGCCUGAGAUUGUAUUAAACGUUCAGUCUUGGCAGAGUAGUUACGAGCUAGCAAGUGAUCAAGAGGCUUUGAAGAAAUUGGUGGAAGUAUUUCAGAAAUCUCACGAGCAGAAUAAUCCUCCCACAUAUCUGUGUUUGGCUGAAGGAUAUGUUGAUGUAUACCAUACAUCAAGGUAAUUUCAGUAUCUGUUUCAUUCCCCCGUACGAGGUAAUGGAGGUAUGUAUCCAUAUAUGUAGACGGCAGAGCAAAUUUUUCCGAAUUCAUCCAUACCUUCUGACAAAUUAUGAAAUAUAAGUAAUACCCGAAACUGUUAAGGAUGUAAUGGAAGAGGAUUUGUACAUCUUAUGGGUCAUUUAAGCAUAAAUACUACAUUUUUCUCAAACGAAAAAAGCAUACGUGAAUGUAAAUUGGCUUUAUCACUCUUCAUUAAAUUAAAUGCUUUGUCAAUUUCCAGUUGUAUACAAUUGCUCUAACUUCUACUGUCAACCUCAGGUUCCAUGUCUAUUAUCAAUGACGCUUUUGAAUGGUUCUCAUGGUUUUCAGCAGCGUAUAUGUUAGAAGCAAGUGUCAUUGGUACAAGAAGUUUAAACAUAUCUGCGAUCAAAUCUUUGGUUAAUGACCAAAUACUUGGUAUUAAUUUCAGAGUCAGUCCUGAUGCCUAACCCCUUAUAUAUCCUUUGACACCUAGUAGGCUCCAGAGCCUAUAUGGGGAUGGCUGCAAGCUGGUUCCUUAUUUUCUUUAGCUUUAAAAUCUACAGAGGUCUUGUGAUCUUUUGCAGUUGACAUUCUGAGUGCUGGGAGACAAGUAGCUGUGGACUCAAAAAGUUUCACGCCUCAACAUUUUAUUAAGCAAGUGAAGGGCCCUAAUUUAGUACCCAGUACUUACUGUGCCCAAGUGAAAGCAUUGUCCAAGGCUUGCAAUGAUCCCCCAACAAAAGGCUUUGGAGGUGUUGGAUCACAUGCAAUCCACCAUCCAACUGGUAUCCUCACAGCAGUCAAGCCGUUGGAUGACAUGAAUCUGAAAUCCUCUUCGGUGAUGACUUGAGGGGCUUUAUCCGGACCAUAACCAUUUGCUAUUUGGUAUUCACCUUGUAAUGAGCCCACUAUUGUCAUAGUAAACACGGAUGGAUCACUGUCAUCCCAACCCGAGCCUCCAUAAUCUGCAGUCAGUAUCGUA